UACAGAGGUGGCAAGCGUUGUUCGGGAUUACUGGGCGUAAAGGGCGCGUAGGCGGUUCGUUAAGUCCUGUGUGAAAUCCCCCGGCUCAACUGGGGAACUGCACAGGAAACUAGCGGGCUUGAGUUCGGGAGAGGGAAGCGGAAUUCCGGGUGUAGCGGUGAAAUGCGUAGAUAUCCGGAGGAACACCGGUGGCGAAGGCGGCUUCCUGGACCGACACUGACGCUGAGGCGCGAAAGCUAGGGGAGCAAACGGG
This 253-nucleotide ribosomal RNA is filed under the name uncultured bacterium. RNAcentral describes it as "partial 16S ribosomal RNA". It matches the Rfam family "Bacterial small subunit ribosomal RNA", at positions 524 to 776 of the family's 1533-position model. The record is from RNAcentral.